GCGGAAUAAAUAUCUUCAUUACCAAAAAAAAAAAGUCCAAAAGAGGAUCUAAGUGAGAAUUGCUGAUCUAUGAAUCCCUCAGUCUUAUCUAUUGUUCAAAUUCAUUCUUUUGGAUAGGUUUAUGGUUUGCACAUAUCAUGAGAGCAUUUACCCUUCUAAGAUCCUUGUUUGGAAUUGAAGGCAACUCUACGCUUUUACC
RNAcentral lists this microRNA precursor (199 nucleotides) under Nicotiana attenuata. RNAcentral's name for it is "pre miRNA MIR159". The record is from RNAcentral. Lineage: Eukaryota; Viridiplantae; Streptophyta; Magnoliopsida; Solanales; Solanaceae.